GCCUAACAGACCGUGCGCGGGCGUCCGUAUACUCGAAGAAAAUCCGGCGGGCGCGCGCGCGCGCGUGUGUGUGCGGGGAGGGGAGGGGUCGGACGAAAAUACCGCGCGUAAAUUAUGCGCAAUUAUCGCAUUAUGCUGCACCUAUGGCCUCUGCUGGAUUAAUAUCGUUAACAUGUAUUUUUUCCCAUUGUAUGCGUCGCACACGCGCGUGUCCCUUCACCCCUCGGUCGAGUUAUUAUUAUUAUUGUCGCCACCGUACGCGUCGCGUGUCCCGUUUCGUCCGCACGCACGUUUAUUUAUAAACGGGAGAAGUGGCGAUCGGUUCGAAACGAGUCGAAAACCGAUUUUACCGUGUGUAACGGAUACGAAAUGAACCGACCGCGCAACAGCGCGUUACAGUUUAUGGUUCCGAUAAUACACCGGCGUUGAUGUUUUUGGCACUAGGUCGACGGUAUUUUUCAAUUUGUAUUCGUCAUUUUAUUUUAUUUAUUUUUUUUCAAUCGUCUUGUCCGCGAGACGUGUUUUAUUGCGAGAAAACGCAGGGCCGCGCGAUUAUGUUUCCAUAAUUUCGUGCGUGAUGAAAAUCUAAAAAUAACCCGACGCACUGCACGUCGUCACGCGCAUAGUGAUAACGCGCGAGAAUGUUGAACGUUUUAUUGCGGGUGCGCGGAAAACGGAAUGUCGUUUUUUUACGUUAAAUCGUCUAUAAUUAUUGUCCACAUCUACUCGAUACGAUGACCUAACCGUAUAGCCUUUUUUUUUUUUUUUUUUUUUUAUUAAUCGUCUGAAUUAUUUAUUUAUUUAAUUUUUCACCGCCGAAAACCAUUUUUCCCGUAAUUACAUAGUACUUAAUUAAAUUGUAAAUUUGCAUUCGAUUGACGAGUGCACAACGAAUAAUUUAAACAAAUAUUAAUACGUGUAUUUAUAGAUAAUAAUAUAUUGUGCA
Non-coding RNA from Cinara cedri, 946 nucleotides. The record is from the annotation of a GenBank genome assembly. NCBI's taxonomy places the organism in Eukaryota, Metazoa, Arthropoda, Insecta, Hemiptera, Aphididae.